GACGAACGCUGGCGGCGUGCUUAACACAUGCAAGUCGAACGGAAAGGCCCUGCUUUUGUGGGGUGCUCGAGUGGCGAACGGGUGAGUAACACGGGAGUAACCUGCCCUGGACUUUGGGAUAACUUCAGGAAACUGGGGCUAAUACCGGAUAGGAGCUCCUGCUGCAUGGGGGGGGUGGGAAAGUUUCGGCGGUUGGGGAUGGACUCGCGGCUUAUCAGCUGGUUGGUGGGGUAGUGGCUUACCAAGGCUUUGACGGGUAGCCGGCCUGAGAGGGUGACCGGCCACAUUGGGACUGAGAUACGGCCCAGACUCCUACGGGAGGCAGCAGUGGGGAAUAUUGCACAAUGGGCGGAAGCCUGAUGCAGCAACGCCGCGUGCGGGAUGACGGCCUUCGGGUUGUAAACCGCUUUCGCCUGUGACGAAGCGUGAGUGACGGUAAUGGGUAAAGAAGCACCGGCUAACUACGUG
This 468-nucleotide ribosomal RNA is filed under the name uncultured bacterium. RNAcentral describes it as "partial 16S ribosomal RNA". It matches the Rfam family "Bacterial small subunit ribosomal RNA", at positions 28 to 507 of the family's 1533-position model. The record is from RNAcentral.